CCUUUGGGACACAGCCAGCGGGAAUAAUGGUCAAAACCGAAAGUAUAACCAGCCCUUCCGGCUGAAAAAAGAAGGUCUUCGGGUUAUAAAAGUUCCUUCCUUAGGAGAAGGAAAAANUGACGUACCCAACGAAGAAGGCCCCACUCNC
This 148-nucleotide ribosomal RNA is filed under the name bacterium. Its description in RNAcentral is "partial 16S ribosomal RNA". The record is from RNAcentral.